GGGCCGCAGAUGCGUCGCGCUAGUGCGGCGCCGAACGUCGUUCGAACGUGGCGUGCGAAGCCAAUUUUGUGGGCAAAGAGGGGUCAGGGACCCCGUGCCCGUAGCGUUUUCCGCAUCCCGGGGGUCGAGCGGGAACCCAUGGGCCGCGACGACGACGCCGUGUGCGGGCGUCGCGGAACACGGGUCUCGUUUCGGGGUUCGACCGUAGCCGCACCGUGCGAACGGGCAGCGCUAGGCGAACGUGGGAAGGAUCGGCACACAAUUCCGUCUACGUAGGUAUGCAACACAGGAAACCGACGGUCGCGGCCAAGGCAACUCGCCCUUGUGCCAGCGACUGAAAAGGAUUGCACAGCAGGACGUCGCUGUCCGAGCAGGGAUCCAACAAGCCCCAUACAAGA
RNAcentral lists this unclassified non-coding RNA (398 nucleotides) under Morinda sp. 1 SGR-2009. RNAcentral's name for it is "partial external transcribed spacer". The record is from RNAcentral. Lineage: Eukaryota; Viridiplantae; Streptophyta; Magnoliopsida; Gentianales; Rubiaceae.